AAUAAGAAAAAAAAAACAUGAAUAUAUAAAACUUCUGCAGGUCAUUUAUCUACUGUUACAUUACAGCCAGGGAAACACUUCCUCAUAACAAAAAAAAAAAAAACUGUGAUUAAUUCUGUGAAACAUUCAUUCAUUUACUGCAGUCUAGUUUGUUGUUAUUUGGUUUACAUUUUUUUGUAUUUGCCUCAAAAUGAUCAGGGAGACAUUUGUUGCCAAAUUUAUCACAGGCAAGAAUCACAUGCUGCUUUUGAAGGUUGACACUUUUGAUUAUUUUCUUCUUACUGUCAAUCUUAAUAGUGAUGAAGGAAAAAGGCUUCUUGCUGAUGCAGAGGUUGCUCUCAAACAUCUUUCCUCCUGAUGAACACACAGCUUCCACGUUGUCUUUCUCACUGAAGGGAAAGAAUGACUGAAUCGUUCUGUUCCAGUGCAGGGUCGAGGUGGGUGCAGCAUGUCUGGUUCACUCAGACAGGCGUGGAGUGUGAGAGUCAAGAUGACCACGAAUGACAGCAAGGACCACAACCAGGUGUCAAAACAUGAAGGUGCACACUCAAUUUUCAGCCCCUCAGACCUCAAGCAUGAUGUGUAUUUCUCCACUGAGUCAAAGUAAUACUAAGCACACCUACCUAUAUAAACCUGAACCUGAGUCAAAGCACUGACAAACAUCUGACUGGACACAAGUACUUUUUGCAUUAUGAUCCUUAAAAUGUUGUCAUUCGUGAUCAUCUUGACUGUGGUGCUCCACACUAGUCUGAGUGAGCUGGACAUGUGGUACCCAUCUAAGCCCUGCACUAAAGCAAAGAACCUGGAUGGGUAUGACACUUUCCUGAACCACCACCUUCGUAAGGACGCACCAAAUGAUCCACGCAAACUAAGAGAAUGGCAGAAGUUCAUCACCAAAAUCAACACCUGGAACAGGCCGAUUCAGUCAUUCCUUCCCUUCAGAGAAGCAAGAAGGGUGAUAGCUGUGUGUUCAUCAGCAGGAAAAAUGUAUGAAGGGAACCUCUGCAUCAGCAAGAAGCCUUUCACAUUCUUCACUGUUGAGAUCGCAGCUAAGAAGCAAGUCAAGAGAGUCAAGGUUCAGGAACAACAUGUUAUUCUUGGCUGUGAUAAAAUUAAAACUAAAUGUCUACCUAUUCAUUUUGAGGCAAAUGUAAAUGAUGAUAUACCAGAUGAUAUCGAACCUGACUGCAGCAAAGCAAUGGCAAAUUCAAGCUUUAUUACAUUCGAGGAGCUGUUUCAUGUCUAGACACAUGACCUGCAGAAUUCAGGUCACUUUUGUUCUUUUAUUUCUAUGUAACCAAUGAUGAAACUACAGUAAUUAGAGGAUGUCUGCUGACAUAAUGCAUUCUGUAUGUACACACACAAACAAACACGAAUAUUGCUUUCUAUGCUUUUGCUUCAUUAUUUCUUUCAUUUAAAUAAAAAUUUUAAUGCAUAAUAAA
Cyprinus carpio carpio is the source of this 1442-nucleotide long non-coding RNA. NCBI's taxonomy places the organism in Eukaryota, Metazoa, Chordata, Actinopteri, Cypriniformes, Cyprinidae. The record is from Ensembl.